Salarias fasciatus (jewelled blenny) is the source of this 3010-nucleotide long non-coding RNA. NCBI's taxonomy places the organism in Eukaryota, Metazoa, Chordata, Actinopteri, Blenniiformes, Blenniidae. The record is from Ensembl.
UUUGUCUCCUCCUCCUCCUCCUCCUCCUCCUCCUCCUCCUCCUCCUCCUCCUGUAUGAAUAGUGUGCCUGUGAGCAGGAGGCAGUCAGGAAACAGUACUGCCUGCACUGCUCAGCUGCAUGCUCCUAACAGAUUGUUGUCUGAGGCGAGAAGGCAGCAGGCCAUGCAUGAAUCCACAGCUACCCUCGAGGAGAUAAUGGUGUCCAGUCACUCCUAGGAACUGGAGAGAGAGUUCAGCUGUGCAUGUUUUCACUGCCUGACACAGUCUUUCCUUGAAAAGUGAAAGUGCUGAGACUUGUCUUUACUUGCUCCUGUAGCAGCUUCAGACUUUUUGAUUCAUCUCAGCUCCUCUUGUUUUUUUUUUUUUGUUUUUUUUCUUCCCCCCAAACAUGGGUUGUUCUUCCUCCAGUGCACAGACUGUGGACCAAGAGAAGAGACCAGGUACAAAACCUGAAGAGACCAAUGGAAGCACAGUUGCAAUCAAAAAUGGGCACAUUGCAGAAGACGCACAGACCAUCGAGGACCAGAUGCAGCUGCCGGUGCAGACGGCCAUACCCAACGGUCUUCAGCCAGGGGCCGACGAUGAGAAAGAGGUCGUUCUAAUGGCCCUGGAGGCCAAAGAAGACCUUGUAGCUGAUGUUGUAGCGGCCCCUGAACCUGAGCCUGAAGCUGCUGCGCCUGAAGAGCCGCCUCCAGAAGCUGCAGCCUCCGCUCCAGGAGGAGACCCGGCUGAGCCCGAAGCUGCUGAAGCAGCAGUGGAGGAAGCGGCCCCUGUAGAAACUGUAGCCGAGGAGGAGGCCCCUCCGGAGGUCGUGGCCCUCGAUGAGGCCCCCGCUGUUGAAUGUGUUGAAGCAGUGGAAGCAGAGGCCAGUGUUGUUGCUGAACCUGUGGUACCAGAAGCGGUAGAGACCCCAGAAGCUGAGGAGAAGGCCCAAACUGAGCCCGUUCAAGUUUCCGAGGAAGUGAAGACUGAAGCGCCAGCAGCAGUAGUAGCUGUGGAAGCAGUCGCCGAGGUCCCAACAGAAGUAGCCGAGGUCGUCCAGGCUCCAGCAGAAGCGGCUCCAGCAGAAGCGGCUCCAGAGGCAUCCACAGAAGUAGCUGAAGCUGUCCAAGCUCCUGCAGAAGCGGCUCCAGAGGUUCCCGCAGUCGCCGAGGCUGUUGAAGCUCCUGCAGAAGCGGCUCCAGAGGUUCCCGCAGUCGCCGAGGCUGUUCAAGCUCCUGUAGAAGCGGCUGCUGAGGCCUCCACAGAAGUGGCCGAGGCUGUGCAAGCCACUGUGGAAGUGGCUGCUGAGACACCAGCAGAAGAAGCCGCCGCGCUGGUGGAGGCAGAGGGUCCAACUGACAAAUCUGCAACAGAGGCUGCCUCAGCUCCAAGUGAGGAAGUCGCUCCAGAUCAGGUUUCAGCACCGAGUGAAGCCGCAGCACCAUCCGAACCCUCGGUGCCUGCUGAACCUGCAGCGUCGGUCAUAGACACAGCCAUUGCUGCGGCGACUAUUCCAGACAUGCCUCUGAUACCUCCAGCCACAGCGGAGGCCCAGGCUGAGUCCCAGCCUGCCGCUGAGGCAGCAGCAGCAGCAGCAGCAGCAGCAGCCCCCUCCACAGCUCCAGAAGCUGCCGCCCAGCAGCUCCAGACCGCGGAGGAGCCAGCGACUGUCCCAGCAGCCUCAGCAGCACCUGAACCUUCACCUGACGUGGUCCCAGUGAAGGCGGCCUCGCAGGAUACCGAGAGCGAGAAAGCCAAAAAGGAGGAUUGAGUUGCAAAAAGGGAUUCUCCAAAAAAAACUAAACCCCAAAGACGACUGGAUACAAAACGAGAUGAAGCAAGAAAAAAAGGAAAGAACACUAAAUUUUCUGUAUUUUCUACCCAGCACUCACCAAACUUUACACCAGAUACAUUAAAUCCACGUGCCUUAAUAACUUAUCUUUUAGGAAAAACCUGGACUUUUCCUACAUUUGUAUAUAACCCCAUUCUGGAGGAGGAGUCUUCAAUAUUGAGACAUAAAGUGCCUGGAGCCUCAUACUACACAUGUAGGCUUUUUAGAAAAUGUUUUCAUUUUUAGAUGGAACUGCUUCAAAAACAAACAAACAGGUAAUGUGUGUCAAGAGGGUGCAAUACUCUGUGAAAUCUAUGAACUCUUGAGCGAGUGGAGUAUGUUUGAAAUGCAGGGAAGGAUGCUUGUAGUGAAUCUUUGAUUAUUUAAAGUAGCUGCUUCUGAGGAAAACAAGCCAAACACAACUGUGAAUAAAAUUAUGCAAAGAGGUUAAAGUGACAGAAAUACCAAAACCAAACGGGCGAAUAGCUCGGCUGGGGUCACUUCAGCUUUUUUAAUUGUUCUUCUUUUAUCUAUAUGAAACUGAUGUUUGAAGCUCAUGUCAUAUAAAAAAAAAAAAAGAAAGAAAAUGUACAUUUUGUUUACACAUUUUAUAACUACAGUGUUUUCUAACGAAACUCAUCUUGUUAAUGGGAAUGACAGUAAUACGUGUUGAAUGACACAAGGUUUGAUUUUUAGAUACUUUGUUGUUUUACAUGUAGAGAAUCAGUCAUCCGAUGUGUUUUGAGUUGUCUUAAGGACUUAAAGAUGAUCACAUGUCUAUGCAAAGGCUUAGUGCUGACGAGAUAAUUCAUCCGGUUUGAGGACGAUGUAAUUGUACCGUCGCCUAUCUGUUUUCUGAAUCUUCCCUUCAGCUGUCAGGUGUUCCUGAAACUCUCAAAGAUGUUUGGCGUCACAGCACCAUGCUGCACGCUCCUUUACUGCAUUACGUACAUGUGUGGCACAGUAUGACUUCUUAGAUGAUUCUGUUAAAGGAUAGAGGACCUAGAAAAUGACUUUAGUUUCCUAAAAUGUGAUGGAUGACAUGGGAAAACUUUCUUUUUAUUUGUUUCUUUCCAUCUGUUUCUCUGUAACUUGUUCAAUCUUUGAAAUUUGUCUAUGACUCUGCUAACCUCUUAGUGUACAGAAUAAAGUUUUACCCACUAUUGUGUGAGUUUUUUUUUUUAUUUUUUUAAACAA